CGACUUGGAGGUUGUUCCCUUGAGGAGUGGCUUCCGGAGCUAACGCGUUAAGUCGACCGCCUGGGGAGUACGGCCGCAAGGUUAAAACUCAAAUGAAUUGACGGGGGCCCGCACAAGCGGUGGAGCAUGUGGUUUAAUUCGAUGCAACGCGAAGAACCUUACCUACUCUUGACAUCCAGAGAACUUUCCAGAGAUGGAUUGGUGCCUUCGGGAACUCUGAGACAGGUGCUGCAUGGCUGUCGUCAGCUCGUGUUGUGAAAUGUUGGGUUAAGUCCCGCAACGAGCGCAACCCUUAUCCUUUGUUGCCAGCGAUUCGGUCGGGAACUCAAAGGAGACUGCCGGUGAUAAACCGGAGGAAGGUGGGGAUGACGUCAAGUCAUCAUGGCCCUUACGAGUAGGGCUACACACGUGCUACAAUGGCGCAUACAAAGAGAAGCGACCUCGCGAGAGCAAGCGGACCUCACAAAGUGCGUCGUAGUCCGGAUCGGAGUCUGCAACUCGACUCCGUGAAGUCGGAAUCGCUAGUAAUCGUGGAUCAGAAUGCCACGGUGAAUACGUUCCCGGGCCUUGUACACACCGCCCGUCACACCAUGGGAGUGGGUUGCAAAAGAAGUAGGUAGCUUAACCUUCGGGAGGGCGCUUACCACUUUGUGAUUCAUGACUGGGGUGAAGUCGUAACAAGGUACC
This 687-nucleotide ribosomal RNA is filed under the name uncultured bacterium. RNAcentral's name for it is "bacterial SSU rRNA". It matches the Rfam family "Bacterial small subunit ribosomal RNA", at positions 813 to 1500 of the family's 1533-position model. The record is from RNAcentral.